CCAGACUCCUACGGGAGGCAGCAGUGAGGAAUAUUGGGCAAUGGAGGCAACUCUGACCCAGCCAUGCCGCGUGAGUGAAGAAGGUUUUCGGAUUGUAAAGCUCUUUCGGAUGUGACGAUGAUGACGGUAGCAUCUAAAGAAGCCCCGGCUAACUUCGUGCCAGCAGCCGCGGUAAUACGGAGGAUGCGGGCGUUAUCCGGAUUUAUUGGGUUUAAAGGGUGCGCAGGCGGAUUUUUAAGUCAGCGGUCAAAUCGUGGGGCUCAACCCCAUCCAGCCGUUGAAACUGGGGAUCUAGAGUGUGCGAGAGGUAUGCGGAAUGCGUGGUGUAGCGGUGAAAUGCAUAGAUAUCACGCAGAACCCCGAUUGCGAAGGCAGCAUACCGGUGCACAACUGACGCUCAGGCACGAAAGCGUGGGUAUCGAACAGGAUUAGAUACCCUAGUAA
RNAcentral lists this ribosomal RNA (444 nucleotides) under uncultured bacterium. RNAcentral describes it as "bacterial SSU rRNA". It matches the Rfam family "Bacterial small subunit ribosomal RNA", at positions 331 to 793 of the family's 1533-position model. The record is from RNAcentral.